UACGAAGGGGGCUAGCGUUGCUCGGAAUGACUGGGCGUAAAGGGCGCGUAGGCGGCUUGCACCAUCAGAUGUGAAAUUCCUGGGCUUAACCUGGGGGCUGCAUUUGAUACGUGUGGGCUUGAGUGCGGAAGAGGGUCGUGGAAUUCCCAGUGUAGAGGUGAAAUUCGUAGAUAUUGGGAAGAACACCGGUGGCGAAGGCGGCGACCUGGUCCGUGACUGACGCUGAGGCGCGAAAGCGUGGGGAGCAAACAGG
This 253-nucleotide ribosomal RNA is filed under the name uncultured bacterium. RNAcentral's name for it is "partial 16S ribosomal RNA". It matches the Rfam family "Bacterial small subunit ribosomal RNA", at positions 524 to 776 of the family's 1533-position model. The record is from RNAcentral.